This is a long non-coding RNA of Cephus cinctus (wheat stem sawfly), 444 nucleotides long. RefSeq lists it as uncharacterized. The record is from RefSeq and is a predicted model, not a curated record. Lineage: Eukaryota; Metazoa; Arthropoda; Insecta; Hymenoptera; Cephidae. The transcript has 4 exons.
AAUUUCCACGAAGCAUUUGUUACCUUCCAAUCAGGUGUCUCCGUCGGUAAAAAGAGCGAAAAACGUGGAAAACUCCAAAGAGUCAGGCAAAAAGAAUAAAGUGAUUUUAUAAAAGAAAAUCAAGCAACGCUAUUUUCAGCAAUAUGUCACCCGGGACAUUUUCAACAGACUCAACGUGUCCUGGCGGUACCUACUUCCUGCAAGCAGCCACAAGGAAAUAAAGGAAACGAGUAUCCACUCUUGGCUUAAUAAACUUUUCAUAAUCAUUUACUUAACCUAUGCAAUUUUGAGCUCUGACGGCAACAAGGCUGGAUACCUAGUUACAUAUACGAUAUCGGGAAAUAACUAUACGUACGUCAAAUAAAAGAUAACGAUUCACGAUAUCGACUUUUAAGUAUUAACUGAGAAUAUCUCGGACUUGGUAAGUUGGACGCGAAGAAGCCG